This 249-nucleotide long non-coding RNA is filed under the name Rosa chinensis. RNAcentral's name for it is "sRNA RchiOBHm_Chr3g0495161". The record is from RNAcentral. Lineage: Eukaryota; Viridiplantae; Streptophyta; Magnoliopsida; Rosales; Rosaceae.
AUGGACGGCAGGAGAGAAGAAGGCUUUGCCAAGCAUUUGAAGCUUAUGAAUUGGGUGGCGUGUUGAUGUCUUGGUUUGUCUUCACAAGUGGGGUUAUGUGCAGCAGGGGAAACAAUAACGCCAUACAUUACUAUAACUACGGUUUGAGAAAGGAAUUUGCUUUAGAUUUGCAUUUAAGGUCAACUUAUGUUCAUGUGUAGGAACUAAAUGUAAUUCAAUGGAACUUAUUAUACUCAUCUUAUCUAUUUG